Molecule: ribosomal RNA, 279 nt
Filed under: uncultured bacterium
Lineage: Bacteria
Description: partial 16S ribosomal RNA
Rfam family: Bacterial small subunit ribosomal RNA
Source: RNAcentral
UGCCAGCAGCCGCGGUAACACGGGGGGCGCAAGCGUUAUUCGGAAUUAUUGGGCGUAAAGGGCGCGUAGGCGGUCUUAUCGGUCAGAUGUGAAAGCCCGGGGCUCAACCCCGGACGUGCAUUUGAAACAGUAAGACUUGAGUACGGGAGAGGAGAGAGGAAUUCCUGGUGUAGAGGUGAAAUUCGUAGAUAUCAGGAGGAACACCGAUGGCGAAGGCAUUCUGCUGGUCAUUACCUGACGCUGAGAGACCAAAGCGCGGGGAGCGAACGGCAUUAGCUA